UGCAGUCGAGCGGGCCCUUCGGGGUCAGCGGCGGACGGGUGAGUAACGCGUGGGAACGUGCCUUCUGGUUCGGAAUAACCCUGGGAAACUAGGGCUAAUACCGGAUACGCCCUUUUGGGGAAAGGUUUACUGCCGGAAGAUCGGCCCGCGUCUGAUUAGCUAGUUGGUGGGGUAACGGCCUACCAAGGCGACGAUCAGUAGCUGGUCUGAGAGGAUGAUCAGCCACACUGGGACUGAGACACGGCCCAGACUCCUACGGGAGGCAGCAGUGGGGAAUAUUGGACAAUGGGCGCAAGCCUGAUCCAGCCAUGC
Molecule: ribosomal RNA, 312 nt
Filed under: Methylobacterium radiotolerans
Lineage: Bacteria; Pseudomonadati; Pseudomonadota; Alphaproteobacteria; Hyphomicrobiales; Methylobacteriaceae
Description: bacterial SSU rRNA
Rfam family: Bacterial small subunit ribosomal RNA
Source: RNAcentral